RNAcentral lists this ribosomal RNA (253 nucleotides) under uncultured bacterium. RNAcentral's name for it is "partial 16S ribosomal RNA". It matches the Rfam family "Bacterial small subunit ribosomal RNA", at positions 524 to 776 of the family's 1533-position model. The record is from RNAcentral.
UACAGAGGUGGCAAGCGUUGUUCGGAAUUACUGGGCGUAAAGGGCGCGUAGGCGGCCAUCUAAGUCAGACGUGAAAUCCCCGGGCUUAACCUGGGAACUGCGCUUGUUACUGGCAAGCUAGAGUGUGGCAGAGGGGGGUGGAAUUCCAGGUGUAGCAGUGAAAUGCGUAGAUAUCUGGAGGAACACCGAUGGCGAAGGCAGCCCCCUGGGCUAACACUGACGCUCAUGCACGAAAGCGUGGGGAGCAAACAGG